CGGGACCUGGUUGGGGAGGGGGUCGCGAUGGGCGGGGCGGAGCUUGUGUGGUCAUCCUGGCACAUUGGAUCUCCGGCAGUUUUGCAGAACACUGAUAUCUAUGGAUUCUAACAUGGACUUCAUUUAAAGAAAUCCACGGACCGUUAAUGGACAAAAACAUGCAUCAAUUUGUAUUGUGGCAUUCAAAUCCUAGCACUUUGGGAAAGCGUCAAGUACAAGGUUUUGAAGAUCCUGGGGCCUACCAUCAUUACGCAUGCAAGAUGUGAGUUUGAAUAACUUCGUCAAGACUUAGAGCCUCUUCAAAAGCCUCAAGUCUCAUCAGCAUUAAAGCUCUCCAUUGAACCCUCUCACAAAAGUCAAAGCUUAAAGGGACUAAAAUCCAUUAAUACAUUCCAUUUCGUAUCUUUCCUCUGAUUUCUCUUCAAUUUCUUUGGCCUUUAGGGUGUUUCAUAUUGCUUAUGUUCCUUUAGACUGGAGCCAAAGAAACAGUGCUUUUCAAAAGAAUAUAUGUCCUGUGGCCAUAAAUUUUCAUUGGUAGAGAAGCAUAAAUUUGGCAUAAGUUUAGAAUCAGGUCUUUUGUUGUAUCCUAUAAAAACCUGAGUCAAUAAUAAGAUGAGGAUGAAGUGGUAAAAAUAUUUGUGGUCAGAUUCUACUCUCAGAGGUUAUGUGGUUUAGAGAAAAGAGCCCUCAACCUAAAAGUUAAUGGUUCUUAUUCUCUCUGCCUGUUACUAGAUAUUUGCUAACUGAGAAAGUCACUUAACCUGUCUCAACCUUAACUUCAUCUGUAAAGUAAAUCUGAUAAUAAUUUCCCUCCCUACCUCACAGGGUUGUUGUGAGGAUCAAAUGAAAUAAUGUACAUAAAAAGGAGUUUUCUAUAAAAUGUGCAGUAUAGACCCAGGGUCCUGUUACAUAGCUGUGAGUCACUCCCUCAGCUCUUGGGCCUGGCAAGCUAGGUGAUUUAAGCACCCUGAAAGCAGCCACCAUGUCCAGGCUGGAUACUUGGUAACCAGGCUGUGUUAAUUUUUGUUUUCUGUGAGUACAUAGAACACAUUUGCAGGCUAAUUCUAAGAAGGAGGAAGACUAUCAAUUUCCCUAAAAUUAUAAGUUAUUGUGGAUAAUGCUCUAGAGCAGUUAUGUAUUCUAACAUAUUCAUGGUUUGCAAAAUUUAUUUACUAAGUUGUGACCAGGACGUUUUUUUGAAAUGAAAGAACAUAGAGCAGAAAAUUGCACAAUGCAUCCCACAUGGUAAGACUAAAUAUUGUUUUAGUUAUAUAUAUGUGUGAAUGUGUGUGUUUGUACUUGUGUACCUGGUCCUUAAAUAAAAUGCAUUUUUUCCUACAAGUUGCA
Molecule: long non-coding RNA, 1347 nt
Organism: Equus quagga
Lineage: Eukaryota; Metazoa; Chordata; Mammalia; Perissodactyla; Equidae
Exons: 3
Source: RefSeq, a predicted model, not a curated record